AUUGAACGCUGGCGGCAGGCCUAACACAUGCAAGUCGAGCGGGGCGGCGGACGGGUGAAUAAUGUAUGGGGAUCUGCCCGAUAGAGGGGGAUAAGUACUGGAACCGGUGGCUAAUCCCGCAUACUAUCGGCUGAACCCCUAUGGGAUUAGCUAGUAGGGGGGGUAAAGGCUCACCUAGUCGACGCUCCCUAGCUGGUCUGAGAGGCUGACCAGCCACACUGGGACUGAGACACGGCCCAGACUCCGACGGGAGGCAGCAGUGGGGAAGAUUGGACAAUGGGCGAAAGCCUGAUCCAGCCAUGCCGCGUGAGUGAAGAAGGUCUUCGGAUCGUAAAACUCUUUAAUUUGGGAAGCGUUACCAACAGAAUAAGCACCGGCUAACUUCGUGCCAGCAGCCGCGGUAAUAC
Molecule: ribosomal RNA, 407 nt
Filed under: uncultured bacterium
Lineage: Bacteria
Description: partial 16S ribosomal RNA
Rfam family: Bacterial small subunit ribosomal RNA
Source: RNAcentral